Molecule: ribosomal RNA, 519 nt
Filed under: uncultured Pseudomonadota bacterium
Lineage: Bacteria; Pseudomonadati; Pseudomonadota
Description: bacterial SSU rRNA
Rfam family: Bacterial small subunit ribosomal RNA
Source: RNAcentral
AUUGAACGCUGGCGGCAUGCCUUACACAUGCAAGUCGAACGGCAGCACGGGGGCAACCCUGGUGGGGAGUGGCGAACGGGUGAGUAAUACAUCGGAACGUGCCCAGUAGUGGGGGAUAGCCCGGCGAAAGCCGGAUUAAUACCGCAUACGACCUACGGGUGAAAGCGGGGGAUCGCAAGACCUCGCGCUAUUGGAGCGGCCGAUGUCAGAUUAGGUUGUUGGUGAGGUAAAGGCUCACCAAGCCGACGAUCUGUAGCUGGUCUGAGAGGACGACCAGCCACACUGGGACUGAGACACGGCCCAGACUCCUACGGGAGGCAGCAGUGGGGAAUUUUGGACAAUGGGGGCAACCCUGAUCCAGCCAUGCCGCGUGCGGGAAGAAGGCCUUCGGGUUGUAAACCGCUUUUGUCAGGGAAGAAAUCUCUUGGGCUAAUACCCCAGAAGGAUGACGGUACCUGAAGAAUAAGCACCGGCUAACUACGUGCCAGCAGCCCGCGGUAAUACGUAGGGUGCAAGCGU